Chenopodium quinoa (quinoa) is the source of this 727-nucleotide long non-coding RNA. RefSeq lists it as uncharacterized. The transcript has 5 exons. NCBI's taxonomy places the organism in Eukaryota, Viridiplantae, Streptophyta, Magnoliopsida, Caryophyllales, Amaranthaceae. The record is from RefSeq and is a predicted model, not a curated record.
CCUUCUCUCUUUCUACAAUAUUGGAGGUUAGGGUUUCUGGGUGCGUCUAUUUUGAAUCAAUUCGAUGUGUGUGCGUCUUCAACAACAACAAAUUCGAAUCAAUUUCGAACCAAAAAUCAGAAAUUCAAGGUUAGGGUUUUUGGGUUAUUUAGCUUUGCGUUAUAUUGUAGCAGUUCUGAGCUUUCUCCUCCAUUGAAACAACUUCUGAGAUAUUGGCAUACUUGCUACUGUCAUCAGCUUCUUCGGCCAUACCUAUGACAAACAGAAUGUGGGAAGGAGGAGGAAUUUUAGUUAGCUUUGUUCACAAACAAGAAGAACAAGAAUCUUUUUUGCUAAUCGGGCAAUUAUUGAUGCUGCUGCGUAUGUCCCACCAGCACCUACAGAAGCACAAAAGAAGAAAAUAGCUCAAUUGUCUGCCAAGUCAGAGCAGAAACAAUUGCAGAACAAAAAAGUCUUGUCCAAAAAGAAGUCCCUUCGUCGAAGUAAAGGUAGCUGGGACUAAAACAGUGAGCUGAGAUCCCACUUUUUCUUCAUGAAUUAAAGAUGCCUUAGCUAGGUCAUUAAGAUUACUUGUUUUUGUAAUGCCGUGCAUUAUUUAAUAUCUUUAAUAUGCAUCAUGCAGACUAGUAGGCUGUAACACUCAACAGUAGGCAGCACUAAAACAGUCUGCAAGCUCUUGGCCCCUACCUACAAAGAUAUUUGGAUAAUGAUAUACUUGUUUUUGUAA